This 919-nucleotide long non-coding RNA is filed under the name Salmo salar (Atlantic salmon). Its description in RNAcentral is "lncRNA (ENSSSAG00000119426.1)". Lineage: Eukaryota; Metazoa; Chordata; Actinopteri; Salmoniformes; Salmonidae. The record is from RNAcentral.
ACAACCAGUACAUCUCCUACUCAAACAGAUCUAGAUCUCUGUGCUAGACUGCCACCACCAACAUAACAACCAGUACAUCUCCUACACUAACAGAAAUGUAGACAUAGGGUGGAUGUCACUGAGAGAUGUUUAACAUCGUAACAUGACAUGGAUUGAUGUGGGGUCCCCUUUAGGCCUCUUAUUUUGGGGGGCGCAAACUCCACAAAAGAGGUUAGCUAUCUAUUUAUUUAUGCUAUCUUUCAUGAGGCAAUAGCAAAAAGAAUGUGACAGCAGUAAAUUACCAGUCCUCUCUCCCCAUCUCAUAGAAUAAGUCUCUCUGAGUGAUCGGUGUAACUGAAAUGCCAGGAUUUUGACAGCUAUACGAAAUGAUCUCUCACAUACAAUAUGUGUCCAACCAGAAGCCAUGGAUUACAGGCAACAUCCGCACUGACCUAAAGGCUAGAGCUGUCACGUUCAAGGAAUGGGACACUAAUUGGACACUUAUAAGAAAUCUUGCUACGACUUCUGAAGAGCCAUCAAAGAGUCAAAACGACCAUGCCUCAGGACUACCUGGUAUGAUGACUCCUUGCUGUCCCCAGUCCACCUGGCCGUGCUGCUGCUCCAGUUUCAACUGUUCUGCCUGCGGCUAUGGAACCCUGACCUGUUCACCGGACGUGCUUGUUGCACCCUCGACAACUACUAUGAUUAUUAUUAUUUGACCAUGCUGGUCAUUUAUGAACAUUUUAACAUUUUAACAUUUUGACCAUGUUCUGUUAUAAUAUCCACCCUGCACAGCCAGAAGAGGACUGGCCACCCCUCAUAGCCUGGUUCCUCUCUAGGUUUCUUCCUAGGUUUUUGGCCUUUCUAGGGAGUUUUUCCUAGGGAGUUUUUCCUAGCCACCGUGCUUCUUUCACAUGCUUUGCUUGCUGUUUGGGGUUUU